UAAAGAGAUAACCUCCGGACACUGAGAUCACAUUCUCACCAAGAAGACCCCUGGGUGCCCGGCCGCCAGACCCCGAGGGUAAAGGCC
RNAcentral lists this long non-coding RNA (87 nucleotides) under Chinchilla lanigera (long-tailed chinchilla). RNAcentral describes it as "lncRNA (ENSCLAG00000025786.1)". The record is from RNAcentral. Lineage: Eukaryota; Metazoa; Chordata; Mammalia; Rodentia; Chinchillidae.